UGCCGCGUGAAGGAUGCGGCCCUAUGGGUUGUAAACUUCUUUUGUACGGGAAAAAACCACCGGUCGUGUAUCGGUGCUGAUGGUACCGUAAGAAUAAGCAUCGGCUAACUCCGUGCCAGCAGCCGCGGUAAUACGGAGGAUGCAAGCGUUAUCCGGAUUCAUUGGGUUUAAAGGGUGCGCAGGCGGAGUGAUAAGUCAGUGGUGAAAGCCUACAGCUUAACUGUAGAACUGCCAUUGAUACUGUCAUUCUUGAGUAUUGUUGAGGUAGGCGGAAUGUGUCAUGUAGCGGUGAAAUGCUUAGAUAUGACACAGAACACCGAUCGCGAAGGCAGCUUACCAA
Molecule: ribosomal RNA, 340 nt
Filed under: uncultured bacterium
Lineage: Bacteria
Description: bacterial SSU rRNA
Rfam family: Bacterial small subunit ribosomal RNA
Source: RNAcentral